Molecule: ribosomal RNA, 496 nt
Filed under: uncultured bacterium
Lineage: Bacteria
Description: partial 16S ribosomal RNA
Rfam family: Bacterial small subunit ribosomal RNA
Source: RNAcentral
AUGCACGCUGGCGGCGUGCCUCAUACCUGCAAGUCGAGCGAACAGACGAGGAGCUUGCUCCUUUGACGUUAGCGGCGGACGGGUGAGUAACACGUGGAUAACCUACCUAUAAGACUGGGAUAACUUCGGGAAACCGGAGCUAAUACCGGAUAACAUGUUGAACCGCAUGGUUCAACAGUGAAAGACGGUCUUGCUGUCACUUAUAGAUGGAUCCGCGCCGCAUUAGCUAGUUGGUAAGGUAACGGCUUACCAAGGCAACGAUGCGUAGCCGACCUGAGAGGGUGAUCGGCCACACUGGAACUGAGACACGGUCCAGACUCCUACGGGAGGCAGCAGUAGGGAAUCUUCCGCAAUGGGCGAAAGCCUGACGGAGCAACGCCGCGUGAGUGAAGAAGGUCUUCGGAUCGUAAAACUCUGUUAUUAGGGAAGAACAAAUGUGUAAGUAACUAUGCACGUCUUGACGGUACCUAAUCAGAAAGCCACGGCUAACUACGUG